Molecule: ribosomal RNA, 253 nt
Filed under: uncultured bacterium
Lineage: Bacteria
Description: partial 16S ribosomal RNA
Rfam family: Bacterial small subunit ribosomal RNA
Source: RNAcentral
UACAGAGGUGGCAAGCGUUGUUCGGAAUUACUGGGCGUAAAGGGCGCGUAGGCGGCCUGUUAAGUCCCGUGUGAAAUCCCUCGGCUCAACCGAGGAACUGCACGGGAAACUGGCGGGCUUGAGUUCGGGAGAGGGAAGCGGAAUUCCGGGUGUAGCGGUGAAAUGCGUAGAUAUCCGGAGGAACACCGGUGGCGAAGGAGGCUUCCUGGACCGACAAUGACGAUGAGGCGCGAAAGCUAGGGGAGCAAACGGG